Molecule: ribosomal RNA, 470 nt
Filed under: uncultured organism
Description: partial 16S ribosomal RNA
Rfam family: Bacterial small subunit ribosomal RNA
Source: RNAcentral
CACUCCUGCGGGAGGCAGCAGUGGGGAAUUUUGGACAAUGGGCGCAAGCCUGAUCCAGCCAUGCCGCGUGCGGGAAGAAGGCCUUCGGGUUGUAAACCGCUUUUGUCAGGGAAGAAAAGGUUCUGGCUAAUACCUGGGACUCAUGACGGUACCUGAAGAAUAAGCACCGGCUAACUACGUGCCAGCAGCCGCGGUAAUACGUAGGGUGCAAGCGUUAAUCGGAAUUACUGGGCGUAAAGCGUGCGCAGGCGGUUAUGCAAGACAGAGGUGAAAUCCCCGGGCUCAACCUGGGAACUGCCUUUGUGACUGCAUGGCUAGAGUACGGUAGAGGGGGAUGGAAUUCCGCGUGUAGCAGUGAAAUGCGUAGAUAUGCGGAGGAACACCGAUGGCGAAGGCAAUCCCCUGGACCUGUACUGACGCUCAUGCACGAAAGCGUGGGGAGCAAACAGGAUUAGAUACCCCGGUAGUCC